This 288-nucleotide unclassified non-coding RNA is filed under the name Hevea brasiliensis (rubber tree). Lineage: Eukaryota; Viridiplantae; Streptophyta; Magnoliopsida; Malpighiales; Euphorbiaceae. The record is from RNAcentral.
GGAGAAGAAGAAGAUUAACACAAAAUUGUAGGCUGGAUUCUAUUUUCUGCCGAGGACAUCUUCCUAAGUGAGCCCAAUGAAAGUAUUGCGAAACAAGAACCCAUAUACAGUGAGGUUGUUAAUAUCUCACACAAGAACAUAAAAGGUAAGCAAAACAUUCUCUUGGUAUUCCCCAAGAGAAAUAACUAAUAGAUUACUACAAGAUUUGGCAUAGCUUUAAGCAACACACGGCAUGCAUCUACCACGUAUACCAUGUCCUAACAAGCAAAAUAGAUGCACUGAUGCAGU